Long non-coding RNA from Melospiza melodia melodia, 791 nucleotides. RefSeq lists it as uncharacterized. NCBI's taxonomy places the organism in Eukaryota, Metazoa, Chordata, Aves, Passeriformes, Passerellidae. The transcript is spliced from 9 exons. The record is from RefSeq and is a predicted model, not a curated record.
CACAUCAGGCAAGGUUGGGAGGAUGGAAGAAAGACUGAAGAAACAUUGAUGAUGUUAGCAAAAUAGCUCCCUUGGACUUCCAGAGGGCAGACUAUGGCCUGCUCAGGAGCAUCUUUGGCAGAGUCCAUUGGGAGGCAGUGCUGAAGAGAACAGGAUUCCGGGAAGGAUGGACAUUCUCCAACAAAGCGAUCUUAAAUGUACAGGAGCAGUUUGUCCUCACAUGCUGGAAGACAAGCAGGUUUCCUAGACUUGAAUACAAAAACCAAUACACAAGCAGCUGCUGCUUUCUCUUUCUACUGAGGUUUCUCAUCUUCCAAGGAGAAAAUCCUGGGCAAAGGGAUUUUUCAGAAAAAUGUGGAUGCCACAGACACACUGCAUGUGCUUCCCUGCUUCAUCCUGCACCUGCCUCCUUGAAAGAAAACAAGACAUCAGAUACUUAUUCAAAUAAUGCAGUAGCUGAUCAGCAGAGUAUCUACACAAUGGUUUUCACAAAACUGAAUCCACCCUGGUGAACUGAGCCAAUCACUUUAUUGCAAAAUUGCCUAAAACUCAGGAUGGUGCAGGAUCACCAGAGGGCGCCAAUGCAGAUCUUCCCAGACGUGAUGCUUCCCAGAGGGGUGGAACAUCUACAUCUCCCAAGUCCAUGACCAUGUGCAGACAAAAAAAGGGCAAUUUCUGAAAACUUUUGUGGCAAAAACAGUCGACUUUUUGGCAAAAUACUGCAUCUUCAGCCAGGAGAAGUUGGCGAUGCACAAAAGGGCUUUUGAAGCAGUCAGUACCCACUUUAUGGC